GGUGGCUCAAUGGUAGAAGCACUUGCCUUGCAUGCAUGAGGCCCUGGGUUCGAUUCCUCAGCACCA
This 66-nucleotide transfer RNA is filed under the name Dipodomys ordii (Ord's kangaroo rat). It matches the Rfam family "tRNA". From Rfam's summary of the family: Transfer RNA (tRNA) molecules are approximately 80 nucleotides in length. The record is from Rfam by way of RNAcentral. Lineage: Eukaryota; Metazoa; Chordata; Mammalia; Rodentia; Heteromyidae.